GAUGAACGCUGACAGAAUGCUUAACACAUGCAAGUCGAUGGGGAAGUGGUGCUUGCACCAUGGCAACCAUGGCGGACGGGUGAGUAACGCGUAAGGGACUUACCUGCAGGACUGGGAUAACAGGGGGAAACUCCUGACAAGACCGGAUAAUGUCAUGGAGCUGCAUGGCUUUAUGAUGAAAGGAGACGCCUGCGGAGAGCCUUGCGUCCUAUUAGCUAGUUGGUGAGGUAAUGGCUCACCAAGGCGAAGAUAGGUAGCCGGCCUGAGAGGGUGGAUGGCCACAAGGGGACUGAGAUACGGCCCUUACUCCUACGGGAGGCAGCAGUGGGGAAUAUUGGACAAUGGGGGCAACCCUGAUCCAGCAAUUCUGUGUGCACGAAGAAGGUUUUCGGAUUGUAAAGUGCUUUCAGCAGGGAAGAAGUAAGUGACGGUACCUGCAGAAGAAGCGACGGCUAAAUACGUG
Molecule: ribosomal RNA, 463 nt
Filed under: uncultured bacterium
Lineage: Bacteria
Description: partial 16S ribosomal RNA
Rfam family: Bacterial small subunit ribosomal RNA
Source: RNAcentral